AUUGAACGCUGGCGGAAUGCUUUACACACGCAAGUCGAACGGUAGAGGGGGCAACCCCUUGAGAGUGGCGAACGGGUGAGUAAUAUAUCGGAACGUGCCCAGUCGUGGGGAUAACGUAGCGAAAGCUACGCUAAUACCGCAUACGAUCUAUGGAUGAAAGCGGGGGAUCGCAAGACCUCGCGCGAUUGGAGCGGCCGAUAUCAGAUUAGGUAGUUGGUGAGGUAAAGGCUCACCAAGCCGACGAUCUGUAGCUGGUCUGAGAGGACGACCAGCCACACUGGGACUGAGACACGGCCCAGACUCCUACGGGAGGCAGCAGUGGGGAAUUUUUGGACAAUGGGCGCAAGCCUGAUCCAGCAAUGCCGCGUGCAGGAUGGAGGCCUUCGGUU
Molecule: ribosomal RNA, 389 nt
Filed under: uncultured bacterium
Lineage: Bacteria
Description: bacterial SSU rRNA
Rfam family: Bacterial small subunit ribosomal RNA
Source: RNAcentral